GGGAAUCUUGCGCAAUGGGCGAAAGCCUGACGCAGCGACACCGCGUGGAGGAUGAAUGUCUUAGGAUUGUAAACUCCUUUUAUCAAGGAAGAGAACGGACGGUACUUGAUGAAUAAGGUUCGGCUAACUACGUGCCAGCAGCCGCGGUAAUACGUAGGAACCGAGCGUUGUCCGAAUUUACUGGGCGUAAAGAGCGCGUAGGCGGUUUAUUAAGUCUCAUGUGUAAUCUCCCGGCUCAACUGGGAGGGGUCAUGGGAUACUGGUAGACUUGAAGAUAGCAGAGGAAAGCGGAAUUCCCGGAGUAGUGGUGAAAUGCGUAGAUACCGGGAGGAACACCAGAAGCGAAGGCGGCUUUCUGGGCUAUUCUUGACGCUGAGGCGCGAAAGCGUGGGGAGCGAACCGGAUUAGAUACCCGGGUAGUCCACGCCCUAAACGAUGGAUACUAGAUGUUGGAGGUAUAGACCCCUUCAGUGUCGAAGUUAACGCGAUAAGUAUCCCGCCUGGGGAGUACGGCCGCAAGGCUAAAACUCAAAGGAAUUGACGGGGACCCGCACAAGCAGCGGAGCGUGUGGUUUAAUUCGAUGCAAAGCGAAAAACCUUACCUAGGCUUGACAUGUUUCUGAAAGCCCCCGAAACGGGGCCCUCCUUCGGGACAGAAUCACAGAUGUUGCAUGGCUGUCGUCAGCUCGUGUCGUGAGAUGUUGGGUUAAGUCCCGCAACGAGCGCAACCCCUGUCGUUAGUUACUAUGUCUAACGAGACUGCCCCCAUUGGGGAGAGGAAGGUGGGGACGAGGUCAAGUCGUCAUGGCUCUUACGCCUAGGGCUACACACACGCUACAAUGGUCGGAAACAAUGGGCUGCAACAGCGCGAGCUGAAGCGAAUCCCCAAAGCCGAUCUCAGUUGGAAUUGUAGGCUGCAACUCGCCUACAUGAACGUGGAGUUGCUAGUAACCGUAGGUCAGCACACUACGGUGAAUACGUUCUCGGGUCUUGUACACACCGCCCGUCAAGUCAUGGAAGUCGGUAACACUUGAAGUCGUUGGGCCAACCCUUUGGGAGGCAGACGCCGAGAGUGGGACUGGUGACUGGGACUAAGUCGUAACAAGGUAGCUGUAGCGGAAGCUGCGGCUG
Molecule: ribosomal RNA, 1131 nt
Filed under: marine metagenome
Description: bacterial SSU rRNA
Rfam family: Bacterial small subunit ribosomal RNA
Source: RNAcentral